ACCCAGUAGCUCCAUAAACCCUAACGAGCUCUUAUCUCCUUCACAGAAAUCAAAUACACCCUGGAAAGGAUAACUGGUCUGAGUAUUAUCAGGAAAUGUUGACGAUCCAACAAUAUUCUCAAUCUUUACCUCUUCUUUCCCUUCCAUAGCCCUAUCAAAGCAGCAAAUUCUUCAUCAAUAUAUGACUGCAGAUACAGUAGUAGAACGGGAGAGAUGAAGUGUGGGUUUUGUAUACGGCUCUGAAGAAGAAAGGAAGAGUUGGUUAGGGUUGAUCUGGUUUUUAUGGUAGG
RNAcentral lists this unclassified non-coding RNA (290 nucleotides) under Hevea brasiliensis (rubber tree). The record is from RNAcentral. Lineage: Eukaryota; Viridiplantae; Streptophyta; Magnoliopsida; Malpighiales; Euphorbiaceae.